This 468-nucleotide ribosomal RNA is filed under the name uncultured bacterium. RNAcentral describes it as "partial 16S ribosomal RNA". It matches the Rfam family "Bacterial small subunit ribosomal RNA", at positions 28 to 507 of the family's 1533-position model. The record is from RNAcentral.
GACGAACGCUGGCGGCGUGCUUAACACAUGCAAGUCGAACGGAAAGGCCCUGCUUUUGUGGGGUGCUCGAGUGGCGAACGGGUGAGUAACACGUGAGUAACCUGCCCUUGACUUUGGGAUAACUUCAGGAAACUGGGGCUAAUACCGGAUAGGAGCUCCUGCUGCAUGGUGGGGGUUGGAAAGUUUCGGCGGUUGGGGAUGGACUCGCGGCUUAUCAGCUUGUUUGUGGGGUAGUUGCUUACCAAGGCUUUGACGGGUAGCCGGCCUGAGAGGGUGACCGGCCACAUUGGGACUGAGAUACGGCCCAGACUCCUACGGGAGGCAGCAGUGGGGAAUAUUGCGCAAUGGGCGGACGCCUGAUGCAGCAACGCCGCGUGCGGGAUGACGGCCUUCGGGUUGUAAACCGCUUUCGCCUGUGACGAAGCGUGAGUGACGGUAAUGGGUAAAGAAGCACCGGCUAACUACGUG